Molecule: long non-coding RNA, 1029 nt
Filed under: Anas platyrhynchos platyrhynchos (common mallard)
Lineage: Eukaryota; Metazoa; Chordata; Aves; Anseriformes; Anatidae
Description: lncRNA (ENSAPLG00000016506.1)
Source: RNAcentral
UGGAGUAACAGUUUGCCUUCAGAGAUUAGUCCAAGCAGUUUCAGUCCAUUAAAACCUGCUGCUGCUGAGCCCAUCACCUUGCAAGGCGCAGACUCUGCCUGGCUUGGCAGCAAGUCCACCAUUAUCCAUGAACUGUUACUGUAAAUUAUUCAAAAAACAGGGUCUCCGAGUAGCCCUCAAGGUUUCCAGAUCACUUUAUGCCAGAUGAGAGCUGAGCAAGGUGGACACGGGUCACCCAGGCCACACUUAACUGGCCCUGGGAACUCCCUGCGAGCACUCCUGGCUUUGUAAAGGUCAUGCAUGCCACAGGGUUUCCAGGGUAAGGGGAUUUGGGACAAAUGCUUCACCCCAGUGACUCACCCACUUCCGCAGAGCGUUCCGGGUUUCCUAGCUGUGCUAUGGCAACAGCAAGUGCAACACAUUUUUGUGUGGUGUUUCAUGCAAUAACCUUUUGCUGAAGUAACUCAAAUCGCUCAAGAGACACGGGCACGCCACAGGAAAAGCAUCACAGAGCCAGCGGGAGCAGCCCACACAGCUAACAGCACGCUCUGAAAUAACGCACUUCCACGCCAACCGGCUUGCAAAGAAGCUGGCAAGAGGCACUGACAAGGACUUCUGCCACACCUCGGGUACUGAUCUGGGGCUUGUGACACCACUAACCAGGAGCUGGCAGAGGGGAAGGGCAGGGCCAGCCCAGGGCUAGUUAUGAGCCCCCAGCCAGCCCCCAGUGCCUGGGGAGCCUGGAUCGUGGAGCUGCCCGUGGCACCCCCAGCACCGCACGAGCCCAGGGCCGGGGAACGUGCCCGAGCUUCAGGGACUCACCUCGGCUGUGCCUCACACCACAGCCAAAUAACACCCAGCUCAGGAGUUCCUGUGUCAGGAGACACAGACACCUUCCUGACAACCCCUCGAAUUCUCCCUACAGAAGGAACAACUGGCAGUUUUACAGAAUGCUCCUCGGUGUCUCUCACAGACUCAUGAAGGUAUCAGAAUUGAUGGAAGAUGGAAAUGAACUAUUUGUUCUCUAAU